UAGGAGCCUUCUCAAGAUUUUGAUCCAAUGCUAAGGAUGGAGUCCAACCUUCCUGUGACACUUCCUUGAUUUACGGUUGUGGUGUUUUUCAAAUAAUGAUUGUUGCUGUGCCCACUGGACUUUAUGGCCUGGCUGAUUUUAUAAUACUCAGCUCACGAUGGGCAGCUCUGGCCCCAUAGUCAUCUGGUAUCGCAGAGAUGAGGUGUUGAAAGUGGCCAUCGAGAAGACGUGACUGCCGGUUGACCCUCGAGCUGCACCUGGGCAAUCAGACGUUCCCCAUCCCCUCCCCUGUCCUCAGAAUGUAUGUUCUGCCCAUCAUUCCCACAGCGGGAGCCAAUUUCAAGGAUGGACCCUUGAGAGAGCAGUGUGUUGUUAAGACCAUCUGGACAGUAUAUGUGACUGAACCCUAUUAAGACCUCUGUAUGUUUUUAAGAUUCUGGCAGGCGGGUGCGGAAAUUUACUCUUCUUGUGGCCGUGCAAGACAAGUCUUCAUGUAAGUUCCCUUGCUUCUUAAACCUACCACCUACCAAUA
This is a non-coding RNA of Delphinapterus leucas (beluga whale), 532 nucleotides long. NCBI's taxonomy places the organism in Eukaryota, Metazoa, Chordata, Mammalia, Artiodactyla, Monodontidae. The record is from RefSeq and is a predicted model, not a curated record.